This 68-nucleotide non-coding RNA is filed under the name Flavisolibacter tropicus. RNAcentral's name for it is "Fluoride sequence". It matches the Rfam family "Fluoride riboswitch aptamer (crcB RNA motif)". Lineage: Bacteria; Pseudomonadati; Bacteroidota; Chitinophagia; Chitinophagales; Chitinophagaceae. The record is from Rfam by way of RNAcentral.
CUAUAUACAGGAAAUGGUGUCUUCCUGCCCCAACCGCUUCUUCUAAAGCUAAUGGCGCCUACAAGUAG